AUGGGCACAUUCACGUCAGAGGGGGAGGGGCAGGGAGUGGCACAAGAGCCUCAAAGCUGGGAGCCACCUGGGCGCUCAGUGCCGGCCGAAGAGAGCCUGUCAGGAACGCACUGGCCUGUCUUACAGUUGGGGAAACAGGCUUCGAGGUGGAGCAGCUUCCCUGAGGUUCCUCCCAGGGCAGCCAGGGCUGGGGUCCUCUUCCAGCCCAGGCACCUCUGUGGACACUUGGGCGGCGGGCAGUGUGCUCCGAGCUGCAGUUGGUCCUGGCAGGAAGGUCUCUACCCCUGUCCACCCAACUCGGCCGUGCGGCCAGAGCCAGGCCUGGCCGCCGUAAGUGAGCUGGGGCCCUCCCCAGGGGGACUUCAGAGCGGGCGGGCAGGACCGGGGCCAGCGUCGGGUGUGAAAGCCCUUGCCCGGGCCGCUGGGGUGAGUGCUGGGGGUCAGUUCCUUUCAAGCCUGCGGCCUCGGGGAAUCCACCCCGCCUGCGUCUGUCCACAGUGGAAAACACCACUGGGGAGGGUCCUGCCUCCCCCUGUGAAUGGCCUGACAGGCCCUGGACGUGCCCUGAGGCUCGGGCGAGGGUCCUGCCCUUCCUUGCCCCCCAACCGUGCCCCCAGUGCACUGUGCUUGGCCGCACCUGGACCCUGGGCCCCGAGGGGACUCCUGGGUGUGUGUUCACACCUUGGUGCCCUCGGCUGUGGGGAGCCUUUUUACCUUGUGCUAGACGGGGGUGGAGGCCCAAGGCCUUCUGAUGCCCCAGCGCAUGACUGCCUCCUGGGGGUGCUGGCUGGGGGAAGGGAGCCCGGGCCCACCGGUUCGGCAAGGGUGGGGCUUCCCGGGAGCUCUGGGUGGUCGGCGGGGGACUGCUUCCGGGUGGACACAGAGGGUGUCAGUGAUCGGACGAACAGGGCCGCAGUGUCCUGGGACCGAGGCUGGCCUGGAGUGGGACGGAGCGCCCCCAGAGCGGCCGGGACCCGGGGAGCGGAGACAAGAAACGCCUUUCAUUCAUAA
Molecule: long non-coding RNA, 1011 nt
Filed under: Delphinapterus leucas (beluga whale)
Lineage: Eukaryota; Metazoa; Chordata; Mammalia; Artiodactyla; Monodontidae
Description: lncRNA (ENSDLEG00000020875.1)
Source: RNAcentral